GACGGACGCUGGCGGCGUGCCUAAUACAUGCAAGUCGAGCGAGUCUGCCCCGUUCAUCGUAGUGCUUGCUCUCAGUGAAACCUGAUACAAACUACCGGCGGACCGGUGAGUAACACGUGGGUAACCUGCCCAAGAGAUCGGGAUAACACCUGGAAACAGAUGCUAAUACCGGAUAACAACUCAUGAUGCCUAUCAACUGUUUCGCGAUGGUUCUGCCAUCACUCCUGGCUGGACCUGCGGUGCCUUAACUAAUUGGUAGGGUAACGGCCUACCAAGGCGAUGAUGCAUAUCCUAGUUGAUACACUGAUCUUCCACAUUGGGACUGAGACACAGCCCCAACUCCUA
RNAcentral lists this ribosomal RNA (345 nucleotides) under uncultured Lactobacillus sp. Its description in RNAcentral is "bacterial SSU rRNA". It matches the Rfam family "Bacterial small subunit ribosomal RNA", at positions 28 to 341 of the family's 1533-position model. The record is from RNAcentral. Lineage: Bacteria; Bacillati; Bacillota; Bacilli; Lactobacillales; Lactobacillaceae.